ACUGGGCAGAUGAUGAAAUUAUAUUUCAUGGGUAAUUUGCGUCUGAUUCUAUGUGAUGCUAACUUCAAUGAUUAUCUGAUGCCCAGA
This is a small nucleolar RNA of Arabidopsis lyrata subsp. lyrata, 87 nucleotides long. Lineage: Eukaryota; Viridiplantae; Streptophyta; Magnoliopsida; Brassicales; Brassicaceae. The record is from Rfam.